CUACGGGACGCAGCAGUGAGGAAUAUUGCACAAUGGGGGGAACCCUGAUGCAGCAACGCCGCGUGGAGGAUGACGCAUUUCGGUGUGUAAACUCCUUUUAUAUGUCAAGAAAAUGACGGUAGCAUAUGAAUAAGCACCGGCUAACCCCGUGCCAGCAGCCGCGGUAAUAGGGAGGGUGCAAGCGUUACUCGGAAUCACUGGGCGUAAAGGACGCGUAGGCGGGUUGGAAAGUCAGGUGUGAAAUCCUACAGCUUAACUGUAGAACUGCACUUGAAACUUCUAAUCUAGAGUAUGGGAGGGGGAGAUGGAAUUAGUGGUGUAGGGGUAAAAUCCGUAGAUAUCACUAGGAAUACCUAAAGCGGAGGCGAUCUCCUGGAACAUUACUGACGCUAAGGCGUGAAAGCGUGGGGAGCAAACAGGAUUAGAUACCCCGGUAGGC
Molecule: ribosomal RNA, 439 nt
Filed under: uncultured bacterium
Lineage: Bacteria
Description: partial 16S ribosomal RNA
Rfam family: Bacterial small subunit ribosomal RNA
Source: RNAcentral